UCUCCGUUGGUGAACCAGCGGAGGGAUCAUUACCGAAGUUACCUUCAAAACCCACUGUGAACCUUACCUCUUGCCGCGUUGUCUCGGCGGGAGGCGGUGUGCGUCGCGCGCCCUAGCGGGCCGCGCCGCUCCCGUCCCCGCCGGCAGCGCCAAACUCUAAAUGCACAGCGGACUGUACGUUCUGAUUUGCAAAAAAAACAAGUUAAAACUUUCAACAACGGAUCUCUUGGUUCUG
RNAcentral lists this unclassified non-coding RNA (235 nucleotides) under plant metagenome. RNAcentral describes it as "partial contains small subunit ribosomal RNA, internal transcribed spacer 1, and 5.8S ribosomal RNA". The record is from RNAcentral.